AGCCAGGAUGUUGGCUUAGAAGCAGCCAUCAUUUAAAGAAAGCGUAAUAGCUCACUGGUCGAGUCGGCCUGCGCGGAAGAUGUAACGGGGCUAAACCAUGCACCGAAGCUGCGGCAGCGACGCUUAUGCGUUGUUGGGUAGGGGAGCGUUCUGUAAGCCUGUGAAGGUGUGCUGUGAGGCAUGCUGGAGGUAUCAGAAGUGCGAAUGCUGACAUAAGUAACGAUAAAGCGGGUGAAAAGCCCGCUCGCCGGAAGACCAAGGGUUCCUGUCCAACGUUAAUCGGGGCAGGGUGAGUCGACCCCUAAGGCGAGGCCGAAAGGCGUAGUCGAUGGGAAACAGGUUAAUAUUCCUGUACUUGGUGUUACUGCGAAGGGGGGACGGAGAAGGCUAUGUUGGCCGGGCGACGGUUGUCCCGGUUUAAGCGUGUAGGCUGGUUUUCCAGGCAAAUCCGGAAAAUCAAGGCUGAGGCGUGAUGACGAGGCACUACGGUGCUGAAGCAACAAAUGCCCUGCUUCCAGGAAAAGCCUCUAAGCAUCAGGUAACAUCAAAUCGUACCCCAAACCGACACAGGUGGUCAGGUAGAGAAUACCAAGGCGCUUGAGAGAACUCGGGUGAAGGAACUAGGCAAAAUGGUGCCGUAACUUCGGGAGAAGGCACGCUGAUAUGUAGGUGAAGUCCCUCGCGGAUGGAGCUGAAAUCAGUCGAAGAUACCAGCUGGCUGCAACUGUUUAUUAAAAACACAGCACUGUGCAAACACGAAAGUGGACGUAUACGGUGUGACGCCUGCCCGGUGCCGGAAGGUUAAUUGAUGGGGUUAGCGGUAACGCGAAGCUCUUGAUCGAAGCCCCGGUAAACGGCGGCCGUAACUAUAACGGUCCUAAGGUAGCGAAAUUCCUUGUCGGGUAAGUUCCGACCUGCACGAAUGGCGUAAUGAUGGCCAGGCUGUCUCCACCCGAGACUCAGUGAAAUUGAACUCGCUGUGAAGAUGCAGUGUACCCGCGGCAAGACGGAAAGACCCCGUGAACCUUUACUAUAGCUUGACACUGAACAUUGAGCCUUGAUGUGUAGGAUAGGUGGGAGGCUUGAAGUGUGGACGCCAGUCUGCAUGGAGCCGACCUUGAAAUACCACCCUUUAAUGUUUGAUGUUCUAACGUUGACCCGUAAUCCGGGUUGCGGACAGUGUCUGGUGGGUAGUUUGACUGGGGCGGUCUCCUCCUAAAGAGUAACGGAGGAGCACGAAGGUUGGCUAAUCCUGGUCGGACAUCAGGAGGUUAGUGCAAUGGCAUAAGCCAGCUUGACUGCGAGCGUGACGGCGCGAGCAGGUGCGAAAGCAGGUCAUAGUGAUCCGGUGGUUCUGAAUGGAAGGGCCAUCGCUCAACGGAUAAAAGGUACUCCGGGGAUAACAGGCUGAUACCGCCCAAGAGUUCAUAUCGACGGCGGUGUUUGGCACCUCGAUGUCGGCUCAUCACAUCCUGGGGCUGAAGUAGGUCCCAAG
This 1495-nucleotide ribosomal RNA is filed under the name Escherichia coli 3-020-07_S1_C3. Its description in RNAcentral is "bacterial LSU rRNA". It matches the Rfam family "Bacterial large subunit ribosomal RNA", at positions 1091 to 2569 of the family's 2925-position model. Lineage: Bacteria; Pseudomonadati; Pseudomonadota; Gammaproteobacteria; Enterobacterales; Enterobacteriaceae. The record is from RNAcentral.